This 376-nucleotide ribosomal RNA is filed under the name uncultured bacterium. Its description in RNAcentral is "bacterial SSU rRNA". It matches the Rfam family "Bacterial small subunit ribosomal RNA", at positions 524 to 898 of the family's 1533-position model. The record is from RNAcentral.
UACGUAGGGUGCGAGCGUUAAUCGGAAUUACUGGGCGUAAAGCGUGCGCAGGUGGUUGUGUAAGUCAGAUGUGAAAUCCCCGGGCUCAACCUGGGAACUGCAUUUGAGACUGCACGGCUAGAGGAUGGCAGAGGGGGGUAGAAUUCCACGUGUAGCAGUGAAAUGCGUAGAGAUGUGGAGGAAUACCGAUGGCGAAGGCAGCCCCCUGGGCUAUUUCUGACACUCAUGCACGAAAGCGUGGGGAGCAAACAGGAUUAGAUACCCUGGUAGUCCACGCCCUAAACGAUGUCAACUAGAUGUUGGAAGGGUUAAACCUUUUAGUGUCGUAGCUAACGCGUGAAGUUGACCGCCUGGGGAGUACGGCCGCAAGGCUAAA